CCAAUAGCGUAUAUUAAAGUUGUUGCAGUUAAAAAGCUCGUAGUUGAAUUUCGGGAUCAAUGUUUCGGUCAUGCCGUUGGUAUGUACUGAUAUUAUUGAUUUCUCACCUUCUACAGAACCGUAAUGCCAUUAUUUUGGUGUCACGGGGAAUUAGGACUGUUACCUUGAAAAAAUUAGAGUGUUUAAAGCAGGCUCACGCUUGAAUACAUUAGCAUGGAAUAAUGAAAUAGGACAUCCGAUUCUAUUUUGUUGGUUUCUAGGAUCGAUGUAAUGAUUAAUAGGGAUAGUUGGGGGCAUUAGUAUUCAAUUGUCAGAGGUGAAAUUCUUGGAUUUAUUGAAGACUAACUACUGCGAAAGCAUUUGCCAAGGAUGUUUUCAUUAAUCAAGAACGAAAGUUAGGGGAUCGAAGACGAUCAGAUACCGUCGUAGUCUUAACCAUAAACUAUGCCGACUAGGGAUCGGAUGAUGUUAAUUUUUUAAUGACUCAUUCGGCGCCUUACG
RNAcentral lists this ribosomal RNA (501 nucleotides) under uncultured Glomeromycotina. RNAcentral's name for it is "partial small subunit ribosomal RNA". It matches the Rfam family "Eukaryotic small subunit ribosomal RNA", at positions 591 to 1092 of the family's 1831-position model. The record is from RNAcentral. Lineage: Eukaryota; Fungi; Glomeromycota.